This 503-nucleotide ribosomal RNA is filed under the name uncultured bacterium. Its description in RNAcentral is "bacterial SSU rRNA". It matches the Rfam family "Bacterial small subunit ribosomal RNA", at positions 17 to 518 of the family's 1533-position model. The record is from RNAcentral.
UUAUGGCUCAGGAGUGAACGCUGGCGGCGUGCUUAACACAUGCAAGUCGAACGGAGUUUUUAAACGGAAGUUUUCGGAUGGAAGUUUAAGAACUUAGUGGCGGACGGGUGAGUAACGCGUGGGUAACCUGCCUCAUACAGGGGGAUAACAGUUAGAAAUGACUGCUAACACCGCAUAAUAUAGCGAAACCGCAUGAUUUUUGCUAUCAAAUAUUUAUAGGUAUGAGAUGGGCCCGCGUCUGAUUAGCUAGUUGGUGGGGUAAAAGCCUACCAAGGCGACGAUCAGUAGCCGGCUUGAGAGAGUGACCGGCCACAUUGGGACUGAGACACGGCCCAAACUCCUACGGGAGGCAGCAGUGGGGAAUAUUGGACAAUGGGGGAAACCCUGAUCCAGCGACGCCCGCGUGAGUGAAGAAGUAUUUCGGUAUGUAAAGCUCUAUCAGCAGGGAAGAUAAUGACAGUACCUGACUAAGAAGCCCCGGCUAACUACGUGCCAGCAGCUGC